Molecule: ribosomal RNA, 277 nt
Filed under: Glomeromycota sp.
Lineage: Eukaryota; Fungi; Glomeromycota
Description: partial large subunit ribosomal RNA
Rfam family: Eukaryotic large subunit ribosomal RNA
Source: RNAcentral
GGGAGGUAAAUUUUUCCUAAGGCUAAAUAUUGGCGAGAGACCGAUAGCGAACAAGUUCCGUGAGGGAAAGAUGAAAAGCACUUUGAAAAGAGAGUUAAAUAGCACGUGAAAUUGUUGAAAGGGAAACGAUUGAAACCCGUUGUACCGACGGGUAAUCAACCUUUCGGGAGCGGUUCUCUGGGUUAUGAAAGCCUCACGGCCCUCAGGGUCGGCAUAUUGGUGCCCCUUUGGUGUGUACUCUCCUGAGUGGUAGGUCAACAUCAGGUUUGAUACGUCG